RNAcentral lists this transfer RNA (73 nucleotides) under Gloeophyllum trabeum ATCC 11539. Its description in RNAcentral is "tRNA-Phe (GAA) (tRNA-Phe-GAA-1-1)". It matches the Rfam family "tRNA". Rfam says of the family: Transfer RNA (tRNA) molecules are approximately 80 nucleotides in length. Their secondary structure includes four short double-helical elements and three loops (D, anti-codon, and T loops). Further hydrogen bonds mediate the characteristic L-shaped molecular structure. tRNAs have two regions of fundamental functional importance: the anti-codon, which is responsible for specific mRNA codon recognition, and the 3' end, to which the tRNAs corresponding amino acid is attached (by aminoacyl-tRNA synthetases). tRNAs cope with the degeneracy of the genetic code in two manners: having more than one tRNA (with a specific anti-codon) for a particular amino acid; and 'wobble' base-pairing, i.e. permitting non-standard base-pairing at the 3rd anti-codon position. The record is from RNAcentral. Lineage: Eukaryota; Fungi; Basidiomycota; Agaricomycetes; Gloeophyllales; Gloeophyllaceae.
GCCGAGAUAGCUCAGCUGGGAGAGCAAUAGACUGAAGAUCUAGAGGUCCCGUGUUCAAUCCACGGUCUUGGCA